GCAGCCCCCCCAAGGCACCCGGAUUUCACCAAUGCCAACAUCGCCCGCCUGGUGCUGGGCGCCGCGGUCCUGCUCGUCCUGGGGCCGAUCCUAGCCAAGGCCUAUUACAGCCGCCCGAGGGAGGUGCCCUAGGAGCCUGGAUCUGGCUAUACAGAGAAGAGAAUCUCCCCAGGGGAGGAACCGCUUCCUCUUGGGGGUCUGAGACACCAGCACAAACUCCCCUGCCCCCAAACACCCCUGCCUCAAAAAUCCCACUCCCCAGACUGCUCCCGACCCAACUGCUGCACCCCAGGAUUGACCCCCUGACUUCUGGCCCCACGAGCACCAGCCCCUGCGAUAACAGCUAGAGGAGCUGCCCCAGUGCUGGGCGUGUCGGGCUCCCCACAGAGCAGCCCCUGGAUGGCGUCGGGGUCCCACUUCCUGGCCCUGAUGGGCCGGUCUCUGCCUGGGGCUGUCAGUGGGGAGCGGGGAGGCUGCGUCUGACCCUGGCACUGGAAAAUGGCACUUACUGCCCCGCAGGUGUCUGUCCCCCUCCUCUCUCUGCAGCGGGGUCCCCCAGUCCCUUUUCUCUGCCCCUUUCUCCCCACCCUGUAUUUCUAUUGUACAAACCCCCAGAGCUUCCUUCUCCCCUGCCCCCCAAAUCUCCCCACGCCAGUGGGCGGCUGUGAUUCCGGAGCCUCCAAAUGUCCCCUCGUGGUGGGUUCAGCUGACGAAGGUGAGUGAGAAGUUCAGGCAGCGUCAUGAGAACCUGGAUGAAUGAACAUUGGGGGGAAAAUUGGUGAGACAGAAAGACGGGAUUAGUCCAACCCGAGUGGCCGCCAGACAGAACCCACGGGCCGGGCUGGGGCCUGCCUGGGACACGGGAGAAUUGGGGGAGCCGAAAUCCCUGACCCACAAUUGGGGUGUUGGAAACAAGGCCUCAUUGGUGGAUAAAAUAUUGCGGGGACGGGCUGUGCCGCCCACCAUCCUU
Long non-coding RNA from Trachemys scripta elegans, 970 nucleotides. RefSeq lists it as uncharacterized. The record is from RefSeq and is a predicted model, not a curated record. Lineage: Eukaryota; Metazoa; Chordata; Testudines; Emydidae. The transcript is spliced from 2 exons.